This 184-nucleotide ribosomal RNA is filed under the name uncultured freshwater bacterium. RNAcentral's name for it is "partial 16S ribosomal RNA". It matches the Rfam family "Bacterial small subunit ribosomal RNA", at positions 346 to 524 of the family's 1533-position model. The record is from RNAcentral.
CAUGACCAGUGGGGAAUUUGGACAUGGGCGCAAGCCUGAUCCAGCCAUUCCGCGUGAGUGAAGAAAGCCUUCGGGUUGUAAAGCUCUUUCUCAAGGGAAGAAAACUUACAUUCUAAUAAAGUGUGAGGCUGACGGUACCUUGAUAAGAAGCACCGGCUAACUACGUGCCAGCAGCCGCGGGAAU